This 247-nucleotide ribosomal RNA is filed under the name uncultured bacterium. Its description in RNAcentral is "partial 16S ribosomal RNA". It matches the Rfam family "Bacterial small subunit ribosomal RNA", at positions 523 to 769 of the family's 1533-position model. The record is from RNAcentral.
AUACGGAGGGUGCAAGCGUUAUCCGGAUUCACUGGGUUUAAAGGGUGCGUAGGUGGGUUGGUAAGUCAGUGGUGAAAUCUCCGAGCUUAACUUGGAAACUGCCAUUGAUACUAUCAGUCUUGAAUACCGUGGAGGUCAGCGGAAUAUGUCAUGUAGCGGUGAAAUGCUUAGAUAUGACAUAGAACACCAAUUGCGAAGGCAGCUGGCUACACGAAUAUUGACACUGAGGCACGAAAGCGUGGGGAUC